RNAcentral lists this ribosomal RNA (301 nucleotides) under uncultured bacterium. RNAcentral's name for it is "partial 16S ribosomal RNA". It matches the Rfam family "Bacterial small subunit ribosomal RNA", at positions 509 to 807 of the family's 1533-position model. The record is from RNAcentral.
CAGUAGCCGCGCGGUAAUACAGAGGGUGCGAGCGUUAAUCGGAUUUACUGGGCGUAAAGCGUGCGUAGGCGGCUUCUUAAGUCGGAUGUGAAAUCCCUGAGCUUAACUUAGGAAUUGCAUUCGAUACUGGGAAGCUAGAGUAUGGGAGAGGAUGGUAGAAUUCCAGGUGUAGCGGUGAAAUGCGUAGAGAUCUGGAGGAAUACCGAUGGCGAAGGCAGCCAUCUGGCCUAAUACUGACGCUGAGGUACGAAAGCAUGGGGAGCAAACAGGAUUAGAUACCCCCGUAGUCCCUGUCUUUUAU